UAUACACUUCCCCCACCGCGGGCUAUCGGCCAUCGCUUCACUAUCUCUGCUAUUUGUCUUAUUUCUUUGUCUCUCUAAAAUUCACCUCGCCUCCCCAUUUCUUUGCUUACUCCGGCCGACUAUCUCUGCUAUUUGUCCCCUUGGGAGGGCGUGCUGCCGUCGGUCGGUGCUCCAGCGACUGUCCCUAUCGGCGGCAUGAUCGGAUGGUAAGAUGAUGGCUAGAUGUGGCUAGAGUUGCUGAAAGAGCUAAGGUCUGGACUAGUUGGACAACCAUAUUGUUGAUGUUUAGAUGAUGAAAUGUUAGAACCUACUCCAUCUGAUGUACUAUUAGUUGUCAUUUAGAACAGCGACACGGUCUCCAAAAUAUAACUUUCAUCAAUAUUUUUUGUUAAAAUACAAAUAAACUCUCAACAUUUAUACUUUUAUAAAAGUACUUAUUAUAACAAAUCGGUGUAUAUAAACAUUGUGUUUCAAAACUACAUAAUAAAAUAGUUAUUUGUAGUCAAAAUUUAUAAGUUUGAUUCAUGUCUUGAUCAAAACGACAACUAAUAGGACACCAGAUGGAGUAGGAAUAUAUUGUUGCCUUUUAACGGCUAAUACUCUGCAUGUCAAACUGUAACCAGAUUUACUAUUUCGAUUCGUAGUGGUUCUUUCUUACGAAUAUACAGUUGUUUGUGUUCUAGUUAUUUGUGCAGAUGUCAAGCCUAGUGGUCUUUAUGCAUUCAAGCAAUUUGUAUUUUUAUUCCAUUGUAAAUAUUUUUUUUCUUUAUCAACUCACCCUGCUUUAGUUUUGACGAGGAAAGACUCAACAAGAUUGAGCUGUUUUGAUUGCAUCAGAAUUGCAUUGGCCCUGUUUUGACAAGUGCCUAUAAUACCAUGUCAAACUGCUUUAGUACUACUUAGGGCAGACAUACCUUUGUUGUUUCUGUUUAAGAAAAAGCAACAACGAUCUGUUUCAGAAAAAGAAGCAGCAAAGAGUUGUUGGUUAUGUGCUAACCGAACAAGAAAAAAUGACAGGGAAUUGAUGAAUAUGGAAUUAAACCACCUAGGGAAAGAGUGACAACAAGGGAUCCAUUCAAUCCACGUCUGGAUUAAUUCCACUUGGAGAUUGAAUCCAUACCUACCGAACAUGGCCUUAAUGUUACGGUGCACCACCGUGACUCUGACCUUGCAAAGGUGACUUGUUAGCACGAGUCAUGCUGUCAAUUAAAGCCGUUAAACCUGAGACAUAUUUCUAUAGUGAGAAUAAUUUGGUUUUCGGAAGGCAUCGUAAUGGGUAGCUGACGACAGAAACCGUAGCUAGCAAGCAUGGUUCGGCGUCCCAGGAUGGACAAGUCACAAGUUGGCGUGUGCUCGUAUCAUAUCAUUAUACUGUAUGCAUUAAUUAAUACUAGCAGUCGAUUGAAUUGGUCUCGGAACUGGAUAUUUAGUGAUUGACUGAUUGCACAGUUGACCUGCAAUUGUAGAGUACUUGCCAUCGCCAGAUUGUUGAAACGCGACUGGAAACUAGUGGUCCGGCCUUCAACAACGGUAGCGUGGCAAUUCAGCAAUGUGGUGGCGUGUCUCUAUCUGUCCUCAAAUCGCGGUGCAGAGGAGGAUGACCCGAAAGAGGGCUCUGGAAAGCUUUAGGUGUGGGAGGCGUUGAAGGGAUAACGGAAGAUUUUAAGGCCACACGACGCCGUUGAAGGGAUAAAGAAGAUCCCAAAGCCACACAAGCUAGAGAACAAUGCAGAAUGGAAGCGGUGGCGGCGGCGGCCUCGCUGCCGGAGUGCGGCUCCACCGGUGGACUGCUCAUCAGUGGCAGCAGAAGUGCUUCACUGCAGCUGCCCCCGCCGACGCUCGCGCAAGAAGGCGUUCGUGGCGCGCUUUUGCACGGCCUCGUCGAAGUGAUCACCGAGAAUGCGAGGCCGCCACGGAGACCAGCACGAAGGAGACGUACGUGCUGAUGGAACCCGGCAUGGACGAGGCGUUCGUGUCCAGAGAGGAGCUAGAGGAGAGCCUCACAAGAACUGGCCCGUGGACACCCUAUCCCUGGACCUCGCCAGGUUCGGCAUGGUCGACGAGGCCGUCUCGUACCUCGUCAGGUCCGUGUGUGUGCUCGAGAUCGAUGGAGACGUUGGGUCCGUGGAGUGGUACCAGGUCCAGUUGGACUAGUUGCCACCCUAGCUUGGAUGUAUGUCAGUGAGAAACCCAUUAAGAGCCUUUUUCACGCCCCUCAGCUUCUCGCCUCUAGACGGCCACCCCACGCAGAUAUGGCGACGCGAACCGUGAGCUUCCCCUCCUUUGCGGUCUCUUACCAGUGCCGAGGUGCGAGGAGGAUGCAUUUACGUUGCGAGGGACAUGAGAAGUUGCGAGUAGCCGUCACUGCCAAUGCGACUUUCUUUUAAAGAAGUUACUAGCUUUUAUGGACACUUGAAAGUCAACUUAUAAAAAAAAUCCAUGAGAAAUAAGGUCAA
Zea mays is the source of this 2456-nucleotide RNA transcript. RefSeq lists it as uncharacterized. The transcript is spliced from 4 exons. NCBI's taxonomy places the organism in Eukaryota, Viridiplantae, Streptophyta, Magnoliopsida, Poales, Poaceae. The record is from RefSeq and is a predicted model, not a curated record.